This 213-nucleotide unclassified non-coding RNA is filed under the name Hevea brasiliensis (rubber tree). Lineage: Eukaryota; Viridiplantae; Streptophyta; Magnoliopsida; Malpighiales; Euphorbiaceae. The record is from RNAcentral.
GAGAGAGAGAGAUAGAGAGGGAGAUGCAUUUGCAAUUGACUCGGGACCCUUCGAUUAUUAAAUUUCAAGUAUUACGAAGGCAUUUGACCGAGUUGGUGAGAAAGACGAGUGGCUGCAAUUAAGUUAGUGCUGGAUUUGGUCGGUAGCUAUACUUUUCAUGUUGUUGGAGUUAUUUGCUCUUUCCCUCCUCCUUAUAUCUUUCUUGCAAUUGUG